AUACGUAGGUGGCAAGCGUUGUCCGGAAUUAUUGGGCGUAAAGCGCGCGCAGGUGAUUCCUUAAGUCUGAUGUGAAAGCCCCCGGCUCAACCGGGGAGGGUCAUUGGAAACUGGGGAACUUGAGUGCAGAAGAGGAUAGUGGAAUUCCAAGUGUAGCGGUGAAAUGCGUAGAGAUUUGGAGGAACACCAGUGGCGAAGGCGACUGUCUGGUCUGUAACUGACACUGAGGCGCGAAAGCGUGGGGAGCAAACAGGAUUAGAUACCCUGGUAGUCCACGCCGUAAACGAUGAGUGCUAAGUGUUGGGGGGUUUCCGCCCCUCAGUGCUGCAGCUAACGCAUUAAGCACUCCGCCUGGGGAGUACGGUCGCAAGACUGAAACUCAAAGGAAUUGACGGGG
Molecule: ribosomal RNA, 397 nt
Filed under: uncultured bacterium
Lineage: Bacteria
Description: partial 16S ribosomal RNA
Rfam family: Bacterial small subunit ribosomal RNA
Source: RNAcentral